AAAGGGGGCAACCCCCGGUAGCGUGGCAGACGGGUGAGUAACACGUGGGUAACCUGCCCGGAGGUGGGGGAUAACCCUUCGAAAGGAGGGCUAAUACCGCAUGACAUCGCGAGGACUUUGGGCCUUGCGAUCAAAGCUGGCCUCUGUUUACAAGCUAGCGCCACCGGAGGGGCCCGCGCCCCAUUAGCUAGUUGGUGAGGUAAUGGCUCACCAAGGCGACGAUGGGUAGCCGGCCUGAGAGGGCGACCGGCCACACUGGAACUGGGACACGGUCCAGACUCCUACGGGAGGCAGCAGUGAGGAAUCUUGCGCAAUGGGCGAAAGCCUGACGCAGCGACGCCGCGUGGAGGACGAAGGUCUUCGGAUUGUAAACUCCUGUCGAGAGGGACGAAUGCCGUAAGGGUGAACAAUCCUCACGGUUGACGGUACCUCCAGAGGAAGCCCCGGCUAACUCCGUGCCAGCAGCCGCGGUAAUACGGAGGGGGCCAGCGUUGUUCGGAAUCAUUGGGCGUAAAGGGCGCGUAGGCGGCCGACCAAGUCGGAGGUGAAAUCCCUCGGCUCAACUGAGGAACUGCCUCCGAUACUGUUCGGCUUGAGUCCCGGAGAGGGUAGUGGAAUUCCGAGUGUAGCGGUGAAAUGCGUAGAGACUCGGAAGAACACCAGUGGCGAAGGCGACUACCUGGACGGGUACUGACGCUGAAGCGCGAAAGCUAGGGGAGCAAACAGGAUUAGAUACCCUGGUAGUCCUAGCUGUAAACGAUGGGCACUUGGUGUUGCGGGUAUCGACCCCUGCAGUGCCGAAGCUAACGCAUUAAGUGCCCCGCCUGGGGAGUACGGUCGCAAGGCUG
This 848-nucleotide ribosomal RNA is filed under the name uncultured Acidobacteriota bacterium. RNAcentral's name for it is "bacterial SSU rRNA". It matches the Rfam family "Bacterial small subunit ribosomal RNA", at positions 70 to 896 of the family's 1533-position model. Lineage: Bacteria; Pseudomonadati; Acidobacteriota. The record is from RNAcentral.